AAGCUACAAAGAGCUUACGGAGGAUGCCUUGGCGCUGAGUGCCGAAGAAGGACGUGGGACACUGCGAAAAGCCUGGGGGAGCUGUGAACGAGCGCCGAUCCCAGGAUGUCCGAAUGGGGAAACCCGACAGAGCGAACCUCUGUCACAAUUACAUGAACCAAAUAGUGUAAUUGGGGGAACCGGGGGAACUGAAACAUCUAAGUACCCCGAGGAAAAGAGAAUAUUCCCAAAGUAGUGGCGAGCGAAAUGGGAGAAGCCCAAACCAUCUGUGGUUGAACAUAGAUGGGGUUGUAGGGCCGGACGAUAAGUGAAGAAAGCCAGAAGAUAGCAGAAUGACGUGGGAAAGUCAGCCAGAGAAGGUGAUAGCCCGGUAUGCGAAAUCGGAUGGACACGAGUCCGGUACCUGAGUAGUACCGUGCACGCUAAUACGGUAUGAAGCUGGGGAGUCCACUUCCCAAGGCUAAACACACACAGCGACCGAUAGAGGACAAGUACCGUGAGGGAAAGGUGAAAAGUACCCCGAUAAGGGGAGUGAAAUAGAACCUGAAACCGUAAGCUUACAAGCAGUCGAAGGGCAAUGCCAGCAAUGGUAAGCCUGACGGCGUGCCUCUUGGAGAAUGAGCCUGCGAGUUAUUCGAUGUGGCGAGGUUAAGGGAGAGAAACCCGGAGCCGAAGCGAAAGCGAGUCUUAAUAGGGCGUUUAGUCGCAAAGAAUAGACACGAAACUGGAUGAGCUAACCAUGGGCAGGAUGAAGCGAGCGUAACACCUCGUGGAAGACCGAACCUUUCAACGCUGCAAAGUUGAGGGAUGACCUGUGGUUAGAGGUGAUAUGCCAAACGAAUUCAGAGAUAGCUUGUUCUCCCCGAAAUAGUUUUAGGACUAGCGGUUGGAGCAUAACUUAUGGAGGUAGAGCACUGAAUGAGCGCGGGGGUCAAAGACUUACCAACCUCAAUCAAACUCCGAAUGCCAAAAGUAGGACCCAGCCAGUCGGACUACGGGUGAUGAGAUUCGUGGUCGAGAGGGAAACAGCCCAGAUCAUCGGCUAAGGCCCCAAAAUGUAUGCUAAGUGGGAAACGAUGUGGAGUUACAGAGACAACCAGGAGGUUCGCUCAGAAGCAGCAACCCUUUAAAGAGUGCGUAACAGCUCACUGGUCAAGUGAUUCUGCGCGGAAAACGUAACGGGGCUAAGCAUACUGCCGAAGCCAUGGGAUUUAUACGUAGGUAUAGAUCGGUAGGGGAGCGUUCCAUCAGCGGAGAAGGGAUACCGAAAGGAGUCCUGGAGCGGAUGGAAGUGAGAAUGCAGGCAUGAGUAGCGAAAAACAUGUGAGAACCAUGUUCAUCGAAAUAUCCAAGGUUUCCGACGUCAAGUCAAUCUGCGUCGGGUUAGUCGGGGCCUAAGGCGAGGCCGAAAGGCGUAGUCGAUGGAGAGCCGGUUAAUAUUCCGGCACCGAAGAGUGGAGCGAAGCGGGGACACAACGAGGGAAUCCAGCCUGUUAGUGGAUUCAGGUGGACGAACGUCAGCCGUAGAGGAUGGGGUUAAAUGACCGUCCGAGGUGAGGGAAGUCAGGAGGCGCAAGCCGGAACUGAGAAGCACCUUGUUGUCAAGAAAAGCCGCUAAGCAAUGAAGCUUGGAGCCCGUACCGCAAACCGACACCGGUGGAUGAGUAGAGAAUACUGAGAUGAACGGGAGAACUAUCGUUAAGGAAUUAGGCAACAUAGCCCCGUAACUUAGGGAGAAGGGGUGCCCCCUGUUUUGAUAAAUAGGGACGGGGGGUCGCAGUGAAAGGGCUCUAGUAACUGGUUAACAAAACCACAGGUCUCUGCGAAGUCGAAAGACGAAGUAUAGGGGCUGACGCCUGCCCAGUGCCGGAAGGUUAAGGGGAGUGGUUAGACGCAAGUCGAAGCUGUGAACUGAAGCCCCGGUGAACGGCGGCCGUAACUAUAACGGUCCUAAGGUAGCGAAAUUCCUUGUCGGGUAAGUUCCGACCCGCACGAACGGCGUAAUAACUAGAGCACUGUCUCGACGAUAGACCCGGUGAAAUUGAAAUGGCUGUGAAGAUGCGGCCUACCCGCAGCAGGACAAAAAGACCCCGUGGAGCUUUACUGUAACCUGGCAUUGAGUUUAGGUGUUAUUUGUGUAGGAUAGGUGGGAGACAGAGAAAUCAGGGCGCCAGCCUUGGUGGAGUCGGCGGUGAAAUACCACCCUGAUAACAUUUGAACUCUAACGUUUGCCCAUGAACUGGGAAACGGACCGUGUCAGGCGGGCAGUUUGACUGGGGCGGUCGCCUCCAAAAGAGUAACGGAGGCGCCCAAAGGUUCCCUCAGACAGAAUGGAAACCUGUCGGAGAGUGUAAAGGCAAAAGGGAGCUUAACUGAAAGACCAACGCGUCGACCAGAUACGAAAGUAGGGCUUAGUGAUCCCACGGUACAGAGUGGAAUGGCCGUGGCUUACCGGACAAAAGCUACCCCGGGGAUAACAGGCUGGUGAAGUCCAAGAGUUCACAUCGACGACUUCGCUCGGCACCUCGAUGUCGGCUCAUCGCAUCCUGGGGCUGGACAAGGUCCCAAGGGUCCGGCUGUUCGCCGGUUAAAGCGGUACGCGAGCUGGGUUCAGACCGUCGUGAGACAGGUCGGUCUCUAUCCGCUGUGGGCGAAAGAGAAUUGAGAAGGGCUGCCCCUAGUACGAGAGGACCGGGGUGGACGAACCUCUGGUGUGUCAGUUGUUCCGCCAGGAGCACCGCUGAGUAGCCACGUUCGGAAGAGAUAACCGCUGAAAGCAUCUAAGUGGGAAACUCGCUUCAAGAUAAGUUCUCUUGACUGAAAAGUAUAAGAUCGCAAGGAGACUACUUGCUGGAUAGGCCGGAGGUGAAAGGUCAGUAAUGGCUUGAGCAAACCGGUACUAAUGAUCGAAGGCUU
RNAcentral lists this ribosomal RNA (2916 nucleotides) under uncultured Flexilinea sp. RNAcentral's name for it is "Bacterial large subunit ribosomal RNA". It matches the Rfam family "Bacterial large subunit ribosomal RNA". Lineage: Bacteria; Bacillati; Chloroflexota; Anaerolineae; Anaerolineales; Anaerolineaceae. The record is from RNAcentral.